Molecule: ribosomal RNA, 451 nt
Filed under: uncultured bacterium
Lineage: Bacteria
Description: SSU rRNA
Rfam family: Bacterial small subunit ribosomal RNA
Source: RNAcentral
AGGAUGAACGCUGGCGGCGUGCCUAAAACAUGCAAGUCAUACGGUCUACCUUCGGGUAGACAGUGGCAAACGGGUGAGUAACACGUGGGAACACGCCUUCGAGUGGGGAAUAACGCUGAGAAAUCAGUGCUAAUACCGCAUAUGGUCUAACGACUAAAGCAGUGAUGCACUCGGAGAGUGGCCCGCGUCCGAUUAGCUAGUUGGUGGGGUAAUGGCCUACCAAGGCGGUGAUCGGUAGCUGGUCUGAGAGGAUGGUCAGCCACACUGGGACUGCGAACGGCCCAGACUCCUACGGGAGGCAGCAGUUAGGAAUUUUCGGCAAUGGACGAAAGUCUGACCGAGCGACGCCGCGUGGAGGAUGAAGCCUUUCGGGGUGUAAACUCCUUUUCUGCGGGAAGAUAAUGACGGUACCGCAGGAAUAAGCACCGGCUAACUACGUGCCAGCAGCCGC